GAUGAAGAACGCAGCAAAAUGCGAUAAGUAAUGUGAAUUGCAGAAUUCAGUGAAUCAUCGAAUCUUUGAACGCACAUUGCGCCCGCCAGUAUUCUGGCGGGCAUGCCUGUUCGAGCGUCAUUUCAACCCUCAAGCACAGCUUGGUGUUGGGACUCGCGUUAAUUCGCGUUCCUCAAAUUGAUUGGCGGUCACGUCGAGCUUCCAUAGCGUAGUAGUAAAACCCUCGUUACUGGUAAUCGUCGCGGCCACGCCGUUAAACCCCAACUUCUGAAUGUUGGCCUCGGAUCAGGUAGGAAUACCCGCUGAACUUAAGCAUAUCAAUAAGCGGAGGA
RNAcentral lists this unclassified non-coding RNA (332 nucleotides) under soil metagenome. Its description in RNAcentral is "partial contains 5.8S ribosomal RNA, internal transcribed spacer 2, and large subunit ribosomal RNA". The stretch from base 1 to 120 matches the Rfam family "5.8S ribosomal RNA", at positions 35 to 154 of the family's 154-position model. The record is from RNAcentral.